GACUUAUCUAGAGCGAUCGAGGGACUGGCCCUAUGACGUCGCGGCAACCUCCCCACGGGGGGAAGGUGCCAAAUCCUGCGGAACGGCGACGUUCCGAAAGAUAAGGA
This 107-nucleotide non-coding RNA is filed under the name Geobacter sp. RNAcentral describes it as "SAM-I sequence". It matches the Rfam family "SAM riboswitch aptamer (S box leader)". From Rfam's summary of the family: The SAM riboswitch is found upstream of a number of genes which code for proteins involved in methionine or cysteine biosynthesis in Gram-positive bacteria. The SAM riboswitch acts at the level of transcription termination control. The record is from RNAcentral. Lineage: Bacteria; Pseudomonadati; Thermodesulfobacteriota; Desulfuromonadia; Geobacterales; Geobacteraceae.